ACGAAUCAAUUUCCAGAUCUAGAGUUAAAGGCACCAGUGGCACUUGACCCCUUCACCAGUGUUUUUGAGACAUUGAAAAAGCUUAUCGAGCUCUACUUGAGUAACCUGAAAGCUUGAUGUGUUUGUUGAUUGGUGUAUUGAAUGAUCUGUGAACAUUCUUUGCACUCUCAAAUUUUCUUCACUUUUUCUUGCUGUAUAUGUCAAGCUUGUCUUAAGAUUCAAACACUUCCAUGGGCUUCUAUUUGUAUCAGGUUCGGAUACAUUUAAACUAGUGUUUUCUCUUUUGUGGUAAUUUGGAUUUAUCUGAUUUGAAUAAACUGGAUUGGGAUAUCCUUUAAUAAAAUUUGGAAAAAGCUAAGAUAUAAUAAUAGAAACAAUUGGGAUGUACCUGACGCUGACGAGCCGCAGAUGAAAGGUUCCAUGCAUUCCAAUAAGGCAACUGUCAAGUAGAAAUGCAGAUGUAAAUUCCCACCAC
Molecule: long non-coding RNA, 475 nt
Filed under: Musa acuminata (dwarf banana)
Lineage: Eukaryota; Viridiplantae; Streptophyta; Magnoliopsida; Zingiberales; Musaceae
Description: long non-coding RNA (MACU_LNC002921)
Source: RNAcentral